RNAcentral lists this transfer RNA (45 nucleotides) under Benitotania elimbata. Its description in RNAcentral is "partial tRNA-Phe". The record is from RNAcentral. Lineage: Eukaryota; Viridiplantae; Streptophyta; Bryopsida; Hookeriales; Daltoniaceae.
GGAAUAGCUCAGUUGGUAGAGCAGAGGACUGAAAAUCCUCGUGUC